ACGGGAGGCAGCAGUGGGGAAUAUUGGGCAAUGGGCGAAAGCCUGACCCAGCAACGCCGCGUGAAGGAGGAAGGUCUUCGGAUUGUAAACUUCUUUUAUGGGGGACGAACAAAUGACGGUACCACAUGAAUAAGCCACGGCUAACUACGUGCCAGCAGCCGCGGUAAUACGUAGGUGGCAAGCGUUAUCCGGAUUUACUGGGUGUAAAGGGCGCGUAGGCGGGGGAGCAAGUCAGAUGUGAAAUCCAUGGGCUCAACCCAUGAACUGCAUUUGAAACUGUUUCUCUUGAGUGCUGGAGAGGUAGAUGGAAUUCCUAGUGUAGCGGUGAAAUGCGUAGAUAUUAGGAGGAACACCAGUGGCGAAGGCGGUCUACUGGACAGUAACUGACGCUGAGGCGCGAAAGCGUGGGGAGCAAACAGGAUUAGAUACCCUGGUA
RNAcentral lists this ribosomal RNA (436 nucleotides) under uncultured Oscillospiraceae bacterium. RNAcentral's name for it is "bacterial SSU rRNA". It matches the Rfam family "Bacterial small subunit ribosomal RNA", at positions 341 to 792 of the family's 1533-position model. The record is from RNAcentral. Lineage: Bacteria; Bacillati; Bacillota; Clostridia; Eubacteriales; Oscillospiraceae.